UACGGAGGGUGCAAGCGUUGCUCGGAAUUACUGGGCGUAAAGCGCACGCAGGCGGUUUGAUAAGUCGGAUGUGAAAGCCCUGGGCUCAACCCAGGAACUGCAUUCGAAACUGCCAGACUUGAGUUCGAGAGAGGGGGGUGGAAUUCCUGGUGUAGAGGUGAAAUUCGUUGAUAUCAGGAGGAACACCGGCGGCGAAAGCGGCCCCCUGGCUCGAUACUGACGCUCAUGUGCGAAAGCGUGGGGAGCAAACAGG
RNAcentral lists this ribosomal RNA (253 nucleotides) under uncultured bacterium. Its description in RNAcentral is "partial 16S ribosomal RNA". It matches the Rfam family "Bacterial small subunit ribosomal RNA", at positions 524 to 776 of the family's 1533-position model. The record is from RNAcentral.